UGGGGAAUUUUGGACAAUGGGCGAAAGCCUGAUCCAGCAAUGCCGCGUGUGUGAAGAAGGCCUUCGGGUUGUAAAGCACUUUUGUCCGGAAAGAAAUCCUUGGCUCUAAUACAGUCGGGGGAUGACGGUACCGGAAGAAUAAGCACCGGCUAACUACGUGCCAGCAGCCGCGGUAAUACGUAGGGUGCAAGCGUUAAUCGGAAUUACUGGGCGUAAAGCGUGCGCAGGCGGUUUGCUAAGACCGAUGUGAAAUCCCCGGGCUCAACCUGGGAACUGCAUUGGUGACUGGCAGGCUAGAGUAUGGCAGAGGGGGGUAGAAUUCCACGUGUAGCAGUGAAAUGCGUAGAGAUGUGGAGGAAUACCGAUGGCGAAGGCAGCCCCCUGGGCAAUACUGACGCUCAUGCACGAAAGCGUGGGGAGCAAAACAGGAUUAGAUACCCUGGUAGUCCACGCCCUAAAACGAUGUCAACUAGUUGUUGGGGAUUCAUUUCCUUAGUAACGUAGCUAACGCGUGAAGUUGACCGCCUGGGGAGUACGGUCGCAAGAUUAAAACUCAAAGGAAUUGACGGGGUCAUAGCUG
Molecule: ribosomal RNA, 580 nt
Filed under: uncultured bacterium
Lineage: Bacteria
Description: partial 16S ribosomal RNA
Rfam family: Bacterial small subunit ribosomal RNA
Source: RNAcentral